AUUGAACGCUGGCGGCAUGCUUUACACAUGCAAGUCGAACGGUAACAGGUCUUCGGAUGCUGACGAGUGGCGAACGGGUGAGUAAUGUAUCGGAACGUGCCCAGUAGUGGGGGAUAACUACUCGAAAGAGUGGCUAAUACCGCAUGAGAACUGAGGCUGAAAGUGGGGGACCGCAAGGCCUCACGCUACUGGAGCGGCCGAUAUCAGAUUAGGUAGUUGGGGGGGUAAAGGCCUACCAAGCCGGGGAUCCGUAGCUGGUCUGAGAGGACGACCAGCCGCGCUGGGACUGAGACACGGCCCAGACUCCUACGGGAGGCAGCAGUGGGGAAUUUUGGACAAUGGGCGCAAGCCUGAUCCAGCAAUGCCGCGUGCAGGACGAAGGCCUUCGGGUUGUAAACUGCUUUUGUACAGAACGAAAAAGCCUCUUCUAAUACAGGGGGUGCAUGACGGUACUGUAAGAAUAAGCACCGGCUAACUACGUGCCAGCCGCCGCCGUAA
Molecule: ribosomal RNA, 498 nt
Filed under: uncultured bacterium
Lineage: Bacteria
Description: partial 16S ribosomal RNA
Rfam family: Bacterial small subunit ribosomal RNA
Source: RNAcentral